CACUGAAGGCCAGGGGAGCAAAGCUGCGCAGAGAGAGAGAUCAGCAGAGCUGGGUGCCCAGCCUCAGGACCCAGGGGCGUCAACACCGCACCAACCAGGAACCAUAGCCACUUACUGUGCUGACUGGGCAGGAGGCAGGAGCAGACCCAGGGCUCACUCAGGGGAGGCCCAGAAAGGGGACCCUCCUGGGCAGUGCCCAAGGUGAGCACAAGCGGGAAGACCCUCCUUACCACUAAGGAGCUGGCCGGGGAAGAGGAGUCCUUCAGCCCAAGGGAAGCAAGGCAGGACAGCAGCACUGUGGACCGGACCACAGAGGUCCCUUCCCCAGCGGAGGUGGGUGCUGAGACGACCCAAGAGCAGCUCGUCCCUCUGUGCCCCACGGACAGCUUGGCCAAGGUCACCGAGUGCAGCUCAGGCCGGGAUGGCGCUUAGGGAGGACAAGGAUUCUGCACUUAGAGCACGUCCGUUCUUUCCUGUGAGUUGAUGCCCCAUCACUGGCGAAGCCCAGGUUUUUAGUUAUUUUUCAAUGGCAGCCUGUCUCUGAGUGGUGAGACGGGUACCAGUGUCCGCAGGGGCUCAUGCACCACCAUCAGCGUCGCCCCUCAAAGUUGUCACUGAAGCACAGUGAACCUCUUUUGCAGCAGGAAGGACUCAGGUUAGACCCAGCGUGAACUUCCAAGUCAGGAGGCCUGGGCUGGCAGCGGUCCGAGCCAGGCUGUGCCGUCCUGUGCCCCGAAGCUCAUUCCUGGUUUCUCAGCCCCUCCAGCCCUUAUCUCUAUAGCUCCCACUUGGCUCCAGAUAGAUCCAUCCCUAAAAAGGACCCAUCCCAUGUGCAGGCCACGGUUUGUUUUCAGACUCUUUGGCUUUGACCUCUGCUCGUGAGAUCAGCAUUUCUGAGUCUGUCUUCGCCAUCUCUGGAGCCAGCAGUGCUCAAAAGUGUUUCCUGUCUGCAGAGUAGCAAGGUCCGUUAGUCAGUCGAGGAUGGCGGUGCAUGGGAGGAGAGUCACACCCUGGAAGCUUCGCCCUGUGCUCUCUGCUCUGAGCAUCAGGCUGCAUUUUCUCUGUUUUGCAAAACAGGAAACUGAGGUACCCAAGAAGUCACCCCCCACUCCUCAGUCUUAGGCAUAGACUUGGUCGGCUACGAGGGAAGGAACUUUAAGUCUUUCCUGAGAACACUCGCUGCCUGCCUCAGUCUCCCCUGAAGUCCACAGCUGGGUCUGAGGACCAAGAAGAGGAGAAAAAGCGUCAUCCCACUCUGGGCUUUCCAGGGUUUGUGCCUACAGACUUCCUUCUACAGAGGCCCAGAGAAGCCAAGUAGCCAGUCUGACGUCACACAGCACAGUGAGGCCCAGCUGGCCCUGGUCUGUGGUCCUACCUGACUCAAGACAAGAGGACAAGGCAGAGGAUGUGUCCAGGCUAAGACGGGGCCUGACUGAAAAUGAGCUACAAGACUCGGGCAAGACAGACGCCCAGCUGCCUCACCACAGGAUGGCCUGCGACACCUGGGCGUGAUCUGCAAGGUCAAGGCAUGCAGGGCUCUGGGUGAUCAUGCCCAGGGACCCCAGGGGAGAGCUCCUCGGUCCCGGGAUCCCCUCGCAUCCUUCUGACAGCCCGCAGGAGCCCCGGCCUCUGUCCCAGUGCUUCUCCAUGCCUCCCGUGCCGUUUCUAUCUUCUGUACUGAUGAAUCAUCGGGUGGCAGGGCCGGUGGCCACUCCAACUUCCAGUGAGUUGAGGGGACUGAUGAUGGGGGUACGGAGCCCAUGGACCCGGAAGCUGCCAACACAGCUGGGACUCAGGAACUAGAAACGAAAGCAAAGCAGAGCCAGGCUCAUCUCCCCCUGUCCCCCACCCACGUCUCCUUCCUGCCCUGCCCUGGCUCCUCUCUGACCUCCAGAUUCCUGAGGCCCAGAUCACUGGUCCCCUCGGAUCAGCCACAGCCAGGUGGUCCCGUGACUACCUGGGCACUUCCCACCCACCCUGGGAGCCAAGCCUGGGAAAGAAGGGAAGAUAAUGUGCUGAGAAACAGAAACAAAGGAUGUGGCAUCUGGGGAAUCAAGGCCCACCUCAGGGCUGUCCCUUGCAGAGGCAGCCCCUCCCUGUGUCCCCUUUGGGAACGAGUGACCUUUUCUCAUGGCUCCAGAAUCUUUCUAGCACCUGCUGGCUAAUUGUCAGCUUGAUUGAAUUCAGAGGUGCUGAGAGUGUGAUUGGCACUGAGCUCCCCCAUGGAUGACACCCCUGAGGGCCUCAUUGCAGGAGGAAACGCUGCACAUUUCUCUCCGACUCCCCCAUGAGGCUGUGUCCUUCCUCAACCAUGUUUCGGCCUGGAAUCAGCUGACCAUGGACUGUCACCCUUGAAACCAUGAGCCAAAAGAACCGCUCCUCUUUUAUGUUGUUGGUCGCAGGUAUUUUGGUCACAAUGACAAAAACCUGACCGGCACAGGGAUAAAGUUUCCAACACAGGAAUUUUGGCUGGACACAUUAAAACCACAGCAGAGACCAACGUCCACUUUCUGGUCUGAACACCUACUAGGGCCAGGCAGGGAGCCCUAAGACUGAGUGCCCUUUGGAAACAGAGCCCUCGGGCCCAUUUGCUGAACAGCCCGAGUAAUAGAUAUUUGGGAAACUUCACCCCCACCACAGUCUUGAGAAGUAAGACCACCACUCCUCCUUACACAAGGGGAAAUGCACAGCGCUUGGUGGGCCUCAGGUCGUCCUGGGCUUAGGGGGUGGAAAAUACUGGAACCAGGCUCCAGGGAUCCGGCCAUGGAGGGACUCAGGCAGCUUAUUCACCCGCCCUCUUGGUAAGCACCUGCAGCUUGGGCCUGGAGAAGACCAUUACCUGUCAGCCUGCUGCCAUGCGAGCUGAAAAUCAAACAACCUUCCCCUUCCCGCCCCCUCCCCCCGUAGCUACUGGGGAUAGAUGUCUCAGCAUCUCUUGGGAGGACGACCAUAUGCAGUAUAGCAAAUACGGGGGAUUUCCUUCUAUCUUCUGUUUGAAGGUAAAGGUUGUUUUCACUGUUUUCUUUCUUUGCUCUAUUCAAUACUCUCAAUUGGAUUUAUAAUGUUCUGUUUUUGGUUUGAUUUUACAAUAGGUAAUUGACUGGACAGCUAUUGUUAAGUUAAAGAGAUAUACCAUGGUACUUAGUACUACUGUCCCAAUAUCCUACUGUGAAGUCCUGUACCAAUUUCACUGCAUUGUCUCGAUUGGCUUUGUUCUGUUUUGUGCUGUUACAUUUUUACUACUUUCAAAAUUAAAAAAAAAGAAAUACAUGUUAAGACUCAUGCAUGUGUAGAAUCUAUAAACAGUUUAUGAGAACUGAUCUUAUGAUAAUUGAUGAAAUGAACAGAUACUUUGAAGAAAAGGAGACACUAAAAUAGCCAGUGCUGAUCCUGGACUGUCAUAAUGUGAAACCCAGCAAUAGUGUUAUUCUUUGUUCAGAGUGAUAUUAACCUGCUUGGGUUUAUUCAAAGUCAACAUAAUUGAAGAUAUGGAUAACUGCAUAUAUGUUUAAGUGUAUAGGAUUGAUAACUGAAGAGACGAAGAAAGCUCGUUCCAUCUGCUGCUUCCCCUCCCCUUCUCCCUUCAAAUCCAACUAGGUUAAGUUUUAACUUCCUAAAGGCCAUAAAACAAAGGCCUGAGGUACUAGCUCCUGACAUCCUGGGUCUUCUCUAUCUGGUAGCCCCGUCACAAAUUGUGUUAAUUGCAUCAGAUUGUAUUAGAUUGUACAUUCUUCACAGAAAUAGCUUUGUUUAUAUCAUAGUAAUACCUGUAACUGUAAAUGUGUGUCUUCCUUUUCCCCUGGGUAAAAGAUUGAUAUGUUAAUCAAUGCUCUCUUCUGUAAAGAAUUGUAAAAUCUUACCCAAUUGAUAUGUUAACCAUUGUUGCCCUCUACAAAUAGAAAGGUUGUGGUGCUAAAGUAAGGUAAUUAUGUCAGGAAACUCAGAGAUAAAGUCUGCUGACUAUGCUAAUCAAGAUUGGGAAGUAUGUCAGAACCAAGCCACACAGGAGCUAGGUGACCUAAAAAUAAGCUGUGCAAAACAAGACAGUUAAUCAACUCUGACCCACUGGUCACCCCUCAUGAUCUGACCAAUCACAAAUGGACAAAUCACCAACUGUUCUGCUCUAACUGCUAUGAUUGGCUUCUGUAACAAUGCUUGCUUGCUUUGCGGUUUUCAUCCUUAAAAACACCAGCCUUGCCCCAACUCAGGGUUCUCCGUUUCCACCUGUUUGGAGGACCCCGUGUACACGGAAUAAUAAAAACCCCAUUGUUUUUACAUGA
Cavia porcellus (domestic guinea pig) is the source of this 4280-nucleotide long non-coding RNA. RefSeq lists it as uncharacterized. NCBI's taxonomy places the organism in Eukaryota, Metazoa, Chordata, Mammalia, Rodentia, Caviidae. The record is from RefSeq and is a predicted model, not a curated record. The transcript has 2 exons.